This 253-nucleotide ribosomal RNA is filed under the name uncultured bacterium. RNAcentral's name for it is "partial 16S ribosomal RNA". It matches the Rfam family "Bacterial small subunit ribosomal RNA", at positions 524 to 776 of the family's 1533-position model. The record is from RNAcentral.
UACGUAGGAUGCGAGCGUUGUCCGGAUUUACUGGGUGUAAAGGGAGCGCAGGCGGAUCGGUAAGUCAGUGGUGAAAUCCUCAGGCUCAACCUGGGAACUGCCACUGAUACUGCUGAUCUUGAGUGUGGAAGAGGUCGAUGGAAUUCCUGGUGUAGCAGUGAAAUGCGUAGAUAUCAGGAAGAACACCGAUGGCGAAGGCAGUCGACUGGUCCACAACUGACGCUCAUGCUCGAAAGCGUGGGGAUCAAACAGG